This 253-nucleotide ribosomal RNA is filed under the name uncultured Eubacteriales bacterium. Its description in RNAcentral is "uncultured Clostridiales bacterium partial 16S ribosomal RNA". It matches the Rfam family "Bacterial small subunit ribosomal RNA", at positions 524 to 776 of the family's 1533-position model. Lineage: Bacteria; Bacillati; Bacillota; Clostridia; Eubacteriales. The record is from RNAcentral.
UACGUAGGGGGCAAGCGUUAUCCGGAUUUACUGGGUGUAAAGGGGGCGCAGACGGCGAUGCAAGCCAGGAGUGAAAGCCCGGGGCCCAACCCCGGGACUGCUCUUGGAACUGCGUGGCUGGAGUGCAGGGGGGGCAGGCGGAAUUCCUAGUGUAGCGGUGAAAUGCGUAGAUAUUAGGAGGAACACCAGUGGCGAAAGCGGCUCUCUGGUCUGUAACUGACGCUGAGGUUCGAAAGCGUGGGUAGCAAACAGG